AUACGGAGGAUGCGAGCGUUAUCCGGAUUUAUUGGGUUUAAAGGGUGCGUAGGCGGACGAUUAAGUCAGCUGUGAAAUGCCCGCGCUUAACGCGGGAAGUGCAGUUGAUACUGGUUGUCUGGAGUGCCGUUGCCGUGGGGGGAAUGGGUAGUGUAGCGGUGAAAUGCAUAGAUAUUACUCAGAACACCGAUUGCGAAGGCAUCUCACGAAUCCGUCAUUGACGCUGAGGCACGAAAGCGUGGGGAUCAAACAGGAUUAGAUACCCUGGUAGUCCACGCAGUAAACGAUGAUGACUAACCGUCGGCGAUACACAGUCGGUGGCCAAGCGAAAGCGAUAAGUCAUCCACCUGGGGAGUACGUUCGCAAGAAUGAAACUUAAAGGAAUGGACGGGG
This 393-nucleotide ribosomal RNA is filed under the name uncultured bacterium. RNAcentral's name for it is "partial 16S ribosomal RNA". It matches the Rfam family "Bacterial small subunit ribosomal RNA", at positions 523 to 918 of the family's 1533-position model. The record is from RNAcentral.